UCCAGACUCCUACGGGAGGCAGCAGUGGGGGAUAUUGCACAAUGGGGGGAACCCUGAUGCAGCGACGCCGCGUGGGUGAAGGAGCGUUUCGGCGCGUAAAGCCCUAUCGGCAGGGAAGAAGGAGGACGGUACCUGACUAAGAAGCCCCGGCUAACUACGUGCCAGCAGCCGCGGUAAUACGUAGGGAGCAAGCGUUGUCCGGAAUUACUGGGCGUAAAGGGCGCGUAGGUGGGCGCUUAAGUCAGGUGUGAAAACUCCGGGCUCAACCUGGAGACUGCACUUGAAACUGGGUGUCUUGAGGGCAGGAGAGGAAAGUGGAAUUCCUGGUGUAGCGGUGAAAUGCGUAGAUAUCAGGAGGAACACCGGUGGCGAAGGCGGCCUGCUGGACUGCAACUGACGUUGAGGCCCGAAAGCGUGGGGAGCAAACAGGAUUAGAUACCCGAGUAC
Molecule: ribosomal RNA, 447 nt
Filed under: uncultured bacterium
Lineage: Bacteria
Description: partial 16S ribosomal RNA
Rfam family: Bacterial small subunit ribosomal RNA
Source: RNAcentral